UGAAACCGUGUGCUUACAAGUAGUCAGAGCCCGUUAAUGGGUGAUGGCGUGCCUUUUGUAGAAUGAACCGGCGAGUUACGAUCUGAUGCAAGGUUAAGCAGAAAAUGUGGAGCCGUAGCGAAAGCGAGUCUGAAUAGGGCGAAUGAGUAUUUGGUCGUAGACCCGAAACCAGGUGAUCUACCCUUGGUCAGGUUGAAGUUCAGGUAACACUGAAUGGAGGACCGAACCGACUUACGUUGAAAAGUGAGCGGAUGAACUGAGGGUAGCGGAGAAAUUCCAAUCGAACUUGGAGAUAGCUGGUUCUCUCCGAAAUAGCUUUAGGGCUAGCCUCAAGUGAUGAUUAUUGGAGGUAGAGCACUGUUUGGACGAGGGGCCCCUCUCGGGUUACCGAAUUCAGACAAACUCCGAAUGCCAAAUAAUUUAACUUGGGAGUCAGAAUGUGGGUGAUAAGGUCCAUAUUCGAAAGGGAAACAGCCCAGACCACCAGCUAAGGUCCCAAAAUAUAUGUUAAGUGGAAAAGGAUGUGGCGUUGCCCAGACAACUAGGAUGUUGGCUUAGAAGCAGCCAUCAUUUAAAGAGUGCGUAAUAGCUCACUAGUCGAGUGACACUGCGCCGAAAAUGUACCGGGGCUAAACAUAUUACCGAAGCUGUGGAUUGUCCUUUGGACAAUGGUAGGAGAGCGUUCUAAGGGCGUUGAAGCAUGAUCGCAAGGACAUGUGGAGCGCUUAGAAGUGAGAAUGCCGGUGUGAGUAGCGAAAGACGGGUGAGAAUCCCGUCCACCGAUUGACUAAGGUUUCCAGAGGAAGGCUCGUCCGCUCUGGGUUAGUCGGGUCCUAAGCUGAGGCCGACAGGCGUAGGCGAUGGAUAACAGG
Molecule: ribosomal RNA, 872 nt
Filed under: Staphylococcus pseudintermedius
Lineage: Bacteria; Bacillati; Bacillota; Bacilli; Caryophanales; Staphylococcaceae
Description: partial 23S ribosomal RNA
Rfam family: Bacterial large subunit ribosomal RNA
Source: RNAcentral